GAUGAACGCUGGCGGCGUGCCUAAUACAUGCAAGUCGAGCGAACGGACGAGAAGCUUGCUUCUCUGAUGUUAGCGGCGGACGGGUGAGUAACACGUGGAUAACCUACCUAUAAGACUGGGAUAACUUCGGGAAACCGGAGCUAAUACCGGAUAAUAUUUUGAACCGCAUGGUUCAAAAGUGAAAGACGGUCUUGCUGUCACUUAUAGAUGGAUCCGCGCUACAUUAGCUAGUUGGUAAGGUAACGGCUUACCAAGGCAACGAUGCAUAGCCGACCUGAGAGGGUGAUCGGCCACACUGGAACUGAGACACGGUCCAGACUCCUACGGGAGGCAGCAGUAGGGAAUCUUCCGCAAUGGGCGAAAGCCUGACGGAGCAACGCCGCGUGAGUGAUGAAGGUCUUCGGAUCGUAAAACUCUGUUAUUAGGGAAGAACAUAUGUGUAAGUAACUGUGCACAUCUUGACGGUACCCAAUCAGAAAGCCACGGCUAACUACGUG
Molecule: ribosomal RNA, 497 nt
Filed under: uncultured bacterium
Lineage: Bacteria
Description: partial 16S ribosomal RNA
Rfam family: Bacterial small subunit ribosomal RNA
Source: RNAcentral